AAUCAAGGAGAGAAUAGUCCCGAUUCCUGCUUACUGCAUGCCUUAUUUGGAUGUGCCCAAAUUCAGACCGGGUCACAUAUAUGGUGCAUUUUAAUGUAAAAUCUAGGGCCAAACAUAAUCACGAUUCUUUGCAUACUCAAACAGGGCAUUGCAGUUCAUUGAU
Molecule: microRNA precursor, 163 nt
Filed under: Oryza sativa (Asian cultivated rice)
Lineage: Eukaryota; Viridiplantae; Streptophyta; Magnoliopsida; Poales; Poaceae
Description: miR5518 stem-loop (osa-MIR5518)
Source: miRBase by way of RNAcentral